GCUGGGCACAGUGGCACAUGCCUGUAGUUCCAGCUACUCGGGAGGCUGAGGCUGGAGGAUCGCUUGAGCCCAGGAGUUCUGGGCUGUAAUGCGCUAUGCCAAUCGGGUGUCUGCACUAAGUUCGACAUCAAUAUGGUAGCCUCCUGGCAGCGAGAAACCACCAGGUUACCUAAGAGGGGGUGAACCGGCCCAGAUUGGAAACGGAUCAGGCCAAAACUUCCGUGCUGAUGAGUAGUGGGAUUGUGCCUGUGAAUAGACACUGCGCUCCAGCCUGGGCUACAUAGCAAGACCUUGUCUCU
RNAcentral lists this signal recognition particle RNA (299 nucleotides) under Saimiri boliviensis boliviensis (Bolivian squirrel monkey). RNAcentral's name for it is "Metazoan signal recognition particle RNA (ENSSBOG00000014993.1)". It matches the Rfam family "Metazoan signal recognition particle RNA". From Rfam's summary of the family: The signal recognition particle (SRP) is a universally conserved ribonucleoprotein. It is involved in the co-translational targeting of proteins to membranes. The record is from RNAcentral. Lineage: Eukaryota; Metazoa; Chordata; Mammalia; Primates; Cebidae.